Molecule: long non-coding RNA, 6062 nt
Filed under: Zostera marina
Lineage: Eukaryota; Viridiplantae; Streptophyta; Magnoliopsida; Alismatales; Zosteraceae
Description: long non-coding RNA (ZMAR_LNC005001)
Source: RNAcentral
UAAAAGACUGGUUCCUAAACGAAGUAGCCUUAAAGCUUAGAGAGGUUCUUAAGAGUUUCCUUGAUACUCUAAGGUUUUGCCAUAACCUUUAGGCGAGUGAAUUCCGGCAGUUGGUCGGGACUGGACUAACCCUUGUUUGGGUGAACCAGUAUAAAUCUCUUGUGUUGUUCUCUGUUAAUUAUAGUUUUAUCUCUUAUCUAAAAACAACACUUAAUUAAAAAGGAUCCCUCUUCCAGUUAUCUGGUCAAAUACAGAAGUUGACUACUUUACGCAGAUCCCUCAUCCAGUUAUCUGAUCAACCAUCUGAGGUUAUAUUCAUUAUUUUAAAUCCUUAUAUUUGUUCAAGUAUUACUUAUCAUAUAUAUCCAGUUAUCUGAUCAUUUACUUGCUUAUCAAUAUAUCCAGUUAUCUGGUCAUUUACUCUACAAUACAAUUUGUGUUUACAAUAUAACUUAGUAUUCAUAUACUAUAAUUGUGUGUAAAACACUAUCCAACAAGUUGACUCAGUAUUCAUAUACUGUGGUAAGCUUCGAAGAGUAAUAAUUACAUUAUUAUAUCAAUCAAAGUUAUAAUAUCUUUAUAUCAUUAUUGUUCAACCAUUUGUUUAUUAAGCAUUUACAGGUAAUUCCGCAAUCAACCUGUAUAAAUCGAAAAGAGACUAUUAUCCCCCCUUAUAGCCUCGGAUCUCGAUCCAACAAGUGGUAUCAGAGCCAAGUUCCGUUGAAGUCAGACUAACAUCUUACAACAACAACUAUGACUUCAAAUGGUGAAAACAGUACUGGUCUUGCAUCGAACAAACCUCCUAGGUUCGAUGGAGUAAAGUAUGACUUCUGGAAAAACAAGAUGAAGUUAUACUUAAAGUCAAUCAACAAUGGAGUCUAGAAAAUCAUAUUGGAAGAUUAUGAGAUUCCAACAAGCAAAGAAGAGACUUGGGGAGCAAUGAAUAUUCUCAAGGAAAACAACAACUCAAGAGCAUUGAAUGCACUAUAUGGUGCCCUCAAUGAAUCUGAGUAUAGCAGAAUUCGAUGCUUGGAUACAGCUCACAAGGUAUGGAAAGCUUUGGAGGACCUACAUGAAGGAACCUCCCACGUCAAGGAAAACAAGCUACUAAAUGCCACUUCUCAAUUCGAAAGAUUCUCUAUGAGGGAAGAUGAGACUAUCGCGGAAAUGAAUAUUCGACUAUCAGAAAUAGUCAACGAUCUGGCUGGACUAGGAGAUCCAGUAACUGAGAAAAAGCAAGUGAGCAAGAUUCUAAGGAGCCUUCCAAACAAAUACUACUCAAAAAGGAAUGCUAUCCAAGAAUCUUAUGAUCUGAAUAAACUCACAGUGGUAGAACUUUGCGGAAAUCUGAUGGCCUAUGAAGAAGAAAGAUUUAUCUCUAGAGCAAAAGAAGAGAAAAAGGACAUUGAUCUCAAAAGUCAAUCCGAUAACGAAGCAUCUGAUGAUGACUUGGCAAUGAUCACAAAUCAUUUAAAGAGAUAUCUCAUAAAAAGGAAAGAAAAGAGAAAUUCAAAGUUAGACUAUCAGAAUUCCGACAGAAAAGUGAGUAAAAACCACAAAGACUCAAAGGAGCCCAUCUGCUAUUUGUGCGACAAAUCUGGACACAUCAGACCUGAAUGUCCUCUGCUAAAGAAAGAAAAAGCACAUCAAGUACACUAGUCAGAUUCUGAGUCAGAUCAAGAAGACUGCCUUAUGGCUCAUGAGAACGACUCUGAGGUAAACUUUACAAAUACUAGAUUUAAUUCAUUAGAAGAAGCAUAUCUAGAAUUAAUGAAUAAAUAUAAAGCUGAAAAAAAAUUAAGUAAAUCAUUAAGACUAGAAUGCAUGAAUAGAUCACAUAUUGAUCAUUCAAUAGAAUUAGAAGAAUCACAAAAAGAAUGCAUGUUAUUAAAAGAAGAAAAUCAUAAACUCUCAAGUAAAAUAAAAAAGGGAGAUGAAAAAAUUAAAAUACUUAAGAGUCAAAAUUUUGAAUUACUCGAUAUUCUAGAAUCUGAAGAAAAUCAACCUAAGGAAAUAAAUGAUGAUAGGGUUGAAUUGUUAGAAUUAAAAAUAGAUAAUUUUGAGAAAAUCGUUAGAAAUAAAGAAAAAGAAACAAUCAUGCUUAAAACUGAAAUAGAAUUUAAGGAUAAACUCAUACUUGAGCAUGAAGAAACUUUACAAAAAUUAUCUGAAAAACAUAACAGCAUGCAAUUACAAACUGAAAGAAUAAAUGAGAAAAAUAAUGUUCUUCAAAAAUUCUUAAAUAGUUCAUCCAAGUUAAAUAACAUGUUGCAAGGUUCAAACUUGGGUCAAAAGAAAUUUGGCUUAGGGUUUGAGUCAGAUGCACCUAUUAACAAAACCUUAAAUGCCAUAACUUAUAAUGAUCAUUUUGUAAGGGAAUCUAGUUAUACAAAACCUUUACAUGCUUCAAUGUAUAAUGAUUAUUCUAGCUAUACAAAACUCAUUCAUCUUAAGAAAAAGAAAAAUCAUUCUAAGAUGAAUCAUCCAAAACAAAGAUGGAUGACUAAAGAUGAGUUAAGAAGUUAUAAGCAGAUUAAGUAUGUUAAUUCAUCCGGACCCAACUCAGUAUAGGUACCAAAGGAUUUUUCAACUUUUUCAGGAAAAGCAUGUGUCAAAAUGGAUGUUCGACAGCGGAUGCACAAGACACAUGACUGGGGAAUCAAGUCUACUAACAGACUUGGUAGACUUACCUACUAGUAAAAAGGUCAAGUUCGCCGAUAACAACGAAGGUACAAUAGCAGGUAGGGGGUAAUGUAGGAAAUACCGAAAAAUCAUUCUUAAGAAAUGUGUACUUAGUAAUUGGUCUAAAACACAACCUGAUUAGCAUAAGUCAAUUAUGUGAUAUUGGUUGUGUAGUAAAAUUUGAAAAAUAUAAUUGUUUUAUCACUAACUCUGAGGGAGUUAUUAUUGCCAGAGGAUAUAGAAAAAACAAUGCUUAUUCUAUAAAUUUUGAUAAGUCUAAUCCAACUCGUGACUUCUGCAUGCAUGCUGCAAGCGAUGAGAAAGUUUUAUGGCAUAGACGAUUAGGUCACACCAGCUACUCAAAACUAUCUAAAUUAUCUAAAGAAGAAUUAGUAACUGGGUUGCCUAAAAUAGCUUAUGAGAAAAGUAAUAUCUGUGAUAUUUGUCAAAAAGGAAAGCAACACAAAAGCCCGUUUAAAUCCCUCACAGAAAUAACCACUUCUAGACCCUUAGAGCUUCUUCACAUGGACUUAUUUGGGCCAACCCAAACCCAAAGUCUUGGAGGAAAAAGGUUCACCUAUGUAAUCAUUGAUGAUUAUUCUCGCUAUACAUGGGUGUUCUUUCUAAGAAACAAAAGUGAAACCUUUGGUGAAUUCUCUAAAUUUUGUACCCUAGUACAGAAUGAAAAAGGUUCAUCUAUCAUAAAAAUCAGAAGUGGUCGUAGAGGAGAAUUUGAAAACUCUGACUUUAAAGAGUACUGUAUAUCCAAUGGGAUAAAGCAUGAAUUUGCUUUUCCUCAAGCUCCACCUCAAAAUGGAAUAGUAGAAAGAAAAAAUCUUACUCUUCAAGAAAUGAGUAGGUCUAUGUUACAAGAACAUGACUCCCCUCAAUAUCUAUGGGCAGAAGCUAUAAGCACUGCAUGUUACACUCUCAAUAAGGUAAUCAUUAGAAAAACCUUAAACAAAACUCCCUAUGAACUUUGGAAUAACAGAAAACCCAAAGUUUCAUUCUUUAAAGUAUUUGAGAGUAAAUGCUAUGUUCUCACAACAAGGGGAAACCAAGAUAAAUUAGCACAAAAAUCUGAUGAAGGAAUCUUGGUUGGAUACUCAAAAAGGAGCAAGGCAUAUAGAGUCCUUCUCAAAGAAAGACAAACAUUGAUAGAAUCCCUACACGUUGACUUUGAUGAGUCCAUCUCUGUUCCAAACACAGAAGAAGGAGGAAUUGAAGUCACUCAACAAGUACCAUCUGACACUCCUAUAGAAAAAGAUGAUCAAGAAACAAUCAUCUCUGAACUUCUAUCAAAUAGGAAUUUUAGAAACCCAUACUCUGUAGAACAAAUUAUUGGAGAUCAACACACUGGCGUACAGACAAGAUCAUCUACGUAACUAUGUCCUAGAUUGCUUUGUAUCUCAAAUAAAGCUUAAGUAGAUCUAUGUGCAUAUAUAUAUGAACUUAAUAUAAUCUAUCAAAUAUUUAUAUGCGUACUUUUACUAUGAUUAUUCAUAUACUAAGUUCUGUACACACAUAGCUAAAUGCAUGCCUAUCAUAUAUGACAAUCACGUUAAUGCAUUUCAUGCUACUAAAAGUUCCAUGAUCUAAAACAACUAUCUGAUAAAUGCAUGCUUUACAUGCUUGAUUCAUGCAUACAGUCGUCAACUUAUUUAUGAAACUAAUCCUAUACAUGCCUGUUUUACGUAUUACAAAACAUCUGCAUGCUUAAAAUCAUUUGAUAAAUACAUAUAGUAUGCAUGCAAAGUAAAAUGAGUCUACCUACAUAUGAGAUGUACAAUACAUGCAUGAAAACUUCAAAACAACUCAUUACAUGUCACGAUUAUGCAUGCAAGAUUAACACCUGAUUAUAAAAAUAUAAUACAAUCUAUGCAUGAAUAUUCAAAGGAUCGGUGACUCAUGCCAUGUUGCUUGUAUUAUAAAUCUUAUACAUAUACAAAGAUAAGAUUCUCCAACAAACUUUAUCCAAGAAAAACACUAUUCAAGAUAAGAUCAAAGACAAAGCUUGGAUUUAUGUGAGAAAUCAAGGAGCCAUCCAUUGAAGAUCCAAGGGUGGACAUUGAGUGGCCAAGGCUAUAAAUAGAAGGGUAAACCCCUCAUUUUCACUUACCACACUACAAGCAAACUCAAGAGCUUUCACUCCACAUUUGCCCACACGUUUUUGCCUCCAAACUUUCAAGUGCCCAAGUGUCCUAGCUUUCCAAAGCUUCAAAAGCUCUCCAACUUCUUCUUCUAAUCUUCUUGUUCAUCUUUACAAGUAAGAAGUGUUGUUUGUUUUAAUAUUCCACUCCUCUAAUCACCUCUUGUGUGUGUCCACUUUGGUUGAGAGGGUUGUCUCAAUAGUACCAAAGUGUGAAAGAAGGUUUUUGAGCUCAACCAUAAAGCUCUAGUUUGGUUUUAUAGAGUUUCCGGGAAAACUCUUAAGUCGAGUCUACCUUGAAAGAUUUCAGAGGUUUUUAAGAGUUCCUUGAUACUCUAAGGUACUAACUUACCCGCAAAAGUUAGAGGUUCUUAAGAGUGCCCUUGAUACUCUAAGGUGUGAGUCUACCCGUAAAAGACUGGUUCCUAAACAAAGUAGUCUUAAAGCUUAAAGAGGUUUUUAAGAGUUCCUUGAUACUCUAAGGUACUAACUUACCCGCAAAAGUUAGAGGUUCUUAAGAGUGCCCUUGAUACUCUAAGGUGUGAGAAUACCCGUAAAAGACUGGUUCCUAAGCGAAGUAGCCUUAAAGUUUAAAGAGGUUCUUAAGAGUUUCCUUGAUACUCUAAGGUUUUGUCAUAACCUUUAGGCGAGUGAAUUCCAGCAGUUGGUCGAGACUGGACUAGCCAUUGUUUGGGUGAACCAGUAUAAAUCUCUUGUGUUGUUCGUUGUUCUCUGUUAAUUAUAGUUUUAUCUCUUAUCUAAAAACAACACUUAAUUAAAAAGGAUCCCUCUUCCAGUUAUCUGCUCAAGUACAGAGGUUGACUACUUUACGCAGAUCCCUCAUCCAGUUAUCUGGUCAACCAUCUGAAGUUAUAUUCAUUGUUUUAAAUCCUUAUAUUUGUUCAAGUAUUACUUAUCAUAUAUAUCCAAUUAUCUGGUCAUUUAUUUGUUUAUCAAUAUAUCUAGUUAUCUGGUCAUUUACUCUAUAAUAUAAUUUGUGUUUACAAUAUAACUUAGUAUUCAUAUACUAUAGUUGUGUGUAAAAAACUAUCAAGCAAGUUGACUCAGUAUUCAUAUACUGUGGUAAGCUUCGAAGAGUAAUAAUUACAUUAUUAUAUCAAUCAAAGUUAUAAUAUCUUUAUAUCAUUAUUGUUCAACCAUUUGUUUAUUAAGCAUUUACAGGUAAUUCCGCAAUCAACCUGUAUAAAUCGAAAAGAGACUAUUAUCCCCC